GUCCUUUUGAAUUUAAUUUAAGGUCUGACCUGCCCAGUGAUGAAUUUAACGGCCGCGGUAUACUGACCGUGCAAAGGUAGCAUAAUCAUUAGUCUUUUAAUAGAGGGCUGGAAUGAACGGUUUCACGAGGAACUGACUGUCUCAUUUUAUUUGUUUUAAAAUUUAAUUUUUUAGUUAAAAAGCUAAAAUUUCGUUGGAAGACGAGAAGACCCUAUAGAUCUUUAUAUGAAUUUUUGUAUUUAUUUAUUUAUUAACAUAAUUACAAUAAAAUUGUAUUUUGUUGGGGUGACAAAAAUAUAUAAUCAACUUUUUCAUUUAUUUACCAUUGAUAUAUGAAUAUUAGAUCCAUUAUUAGUGAUUGAUAGACUAAGUUACCUUAGGGAUAACAGCGUAAUCCUCCUCCAGAGUUCAUAUUUACAGGAGGGCUUGCGACCUCGAUGUUGGAUUAAGAUAAUAAUUAGGUGUAGCCGCUUAAUUUAUAGGUCUGUUCGACCUUUAAAUUCUU
Molecule: ribosomal RNA, 505 nt
Filed under: Sympetrum striolatum
Lineage: Eukaryota; Metazoa; Arthropoda; Insecta; Odonata; Libellulidae
Description: partial 16S ribosomal RNA
Rfam family: Bacterial large subunit ribosomal RNA
Source: RNAcentral